RNAcentral lists this ribosomal RNA (497 nucleotides) under uncultured bacterium. Its description in RNAcentral is "partial 16S ribosomal RNA". It matches the Rfam family "Bacterial small subunit ribosomal RNA", at positions 28 to 507 of the family's 1533-position model. The record is from RNAcentral.
GACGAACGCUGGCGGCGUGCUUAACACAUGCAAGUCGAGCGAACAGACGAGGAGCUUGCUCCUCUGACGUUAGCGGCGGACGGGUGAGUCACAUGUGGAUAAUCUCCCUAUCAGACUGGGAUAAAUACGGGAAACGGGCGCUAAUACCGGAUAAUAUAUUGAACCGUAUGGUUCAUUAGUGAAAGACGGUUUUGCUGGCACUAAUCGAUGCAUCCCCGCCGCAUUAGCUAGUUGGUAAGGUAAAGGCUUACCAAGGCAACGAUGCGUAGCCGACCUGUGAGGGUGGUCGCCCACAUGGGAGCUGAGCCACGGUCCAGACUCCUACGGUAGGCAGCAGUAUGGAAUCUUCCGCAAUGGGCGAGAGCCUGACGGAGCAACGCCGCGGGAGUGAUGAAGGUCUUCGGAUCGGAAAACUCUGUUAGUAGGGAAGAACAAAUGUGUAAUUAACUAUGCACGUCUUGACGGUACCUAGUCAGAAAGCCACGGCUAACUACGUG